This 542-nucleotide ribosomal RNA is filed under the name uncultured bacterium. RNAcentral describes it as "bacterial SSU rRNA". It matches the Rfam family "Bacterial small subunit ribosomal RNA", at positions 777 to 1314 of the family's 1533-position model. The record is from RNAcentral.
AAUAGAUACCCUGGUAGUCCACGCCGUAAACGAUGAGUGCUAAGUGUUAGGGGGUUUCCGCCCCUUAGUGCUGCAGCUAACGCAUUAAGCACUCCGCCUGGGGAGUACGGUCGCAAGACUGAAACUCAAAGGAAUUGACGGGGGCCCGCACAAGCGGUGGAGCAUGUGGUUUAAUUCGAAGCAACGCGAAGAACCUUACCAGGUCUUGACAUCCCAUUGACCACUAUGGAGACAUAGUUUUCCCUUCGGGGACAACGGUGACAGGUGGUGCAUGGUUGUCGUCAGCUCGUGUCGUGAGAUGUUGGGUUAAGUCCCGCAACGAGCGCAACCCUUGUUCUUAGUUGCCAUCAUUUAGUUGGGCACUCUAAGGAGACUGCUGGUGACAAACCGGAGGAACGGUGGGGAUGACGUCAAAUCAUCAUGCCCCUUAUGACCUGGGCUACACACGUGCUACAAUGGACGGUACAAACGGUUGCCAACCCGCGAGGGGGAGCUAACUCCGGAUAAAACCGUUCUCAGUUCGGAUUGUAGGCUGCAACUCG